RNAcentral lists this long non-coding RNA (495 nucleotides) under Callithrix jacchus (white-tufted-ear marmoset). Its description in RNAcentral is "lncRNA (ENSCJAG00000074845.1)". The record is from RNAcentral. Lineage: Eukaryota; Metazoa; Chordata; Mammalia; Primates; Cebidae.
CAAACCAACAGAGUCUCACUACAUCACUCGGGCUGGAGUGCAGUGGUGAGAUCACAGCUCACCAUAGCUUCAACUUCCUGGACUUAGAUGAUCCUCCCACCUCAACUUCCAGAGGAGCUGGGACUAAAGCCUUUCAGGUGCUUCUCAGGUUGGCUAUCCUUCGUGAAGACUUGCUACAAGGCUACCAUUGUGGGAGUAGUCCUGAUCAAUCACUGGUAAGUUAUUAUCAGUGCUUAUAAGUAAACGGAGAAAGCCGGUUGCUGGUUUGCACAGAGAAGCAGAAUAGAGCAGAGACAAACAGACACAGAAAGACCAAGACAGGGAGAAAGAGAGGUGAGAAACAAGCUAUCUGAUAACUUUUCAAUUUCAUGAGGUCCAGUUGUUCUUCCUGCAUCUGGAAACUGAAAUUUUUCUGUAUCAUUACAUAAAUCCAUUUAGUUUGAAUGCAUUUUCUUUCUUCUUUACAAUCAAAGUGCCCUGACUUGUUAUUUUCCC